This 253-nucleotide ribosomal RNA is filed under the name uncultured bacterium. RNAcentral describes it as "partial 16S ribosomal RNA". It matches the Rfam family "Bacterial small subunit ribosomal RNA", at positions 524 to 777 of the family's 1533-position model. The record is from RNAcentral.
UACGAAGGGGGCUAGCGUUGUUCGGAAUUACUGGGCGUAAAGCGCACGUAGGCGGCUUCUUAAGUCGGUGGUGAAAUCCUGGAGCUCAACUCCAGAACUGCCUUCGAUACUGGGAGCUCGAGUCCGGGAGAGGUGAGUGGAACUGCGAGUGUAGAGGUGAAAUUCGUAGAUAUUCGCAAGAACACCAGUGGCGAAGGCGGCUCACUGGCCCGGUACUGACGCUGAGGUGCGAAAGCGUGGGGAGCAAACAGGG